This 83-nucleotide small nucleolar RNA is filed under the name Claviceps purpurea 20.1. Lineage: Eukaryota; Fungi; Ascomycota; Sordariomycetes; Hypocreales; Clavicipitaceae. The record is from RNAcentral.
UUCUGAUGAUACAGAUGACGAGUCUUAUUCGAGUUUUCGAUGCAGAUAUUUAUUCUUUUUAUACCAUUCAUGCUUCACUGAAC